UACGUAGGGGGCUAGCGUUGUCCGGAAUCAUUGGGCGUAAAGAGCGUGUAGGCGGUCCGGUAAGUCCGCUGUGAAAGUCCAGGGCUCAACCCUGGAAUGCCGGUGGAUACUGUCGGGCUCGAAUCCGGAAGAGGUGAGUGGAAUUCCUGGUGUAGCGGUGAAAUGCGCAGAUAUCAGGAGGAACACCAAUGGCGAAGGCAGCUCACUGGGACGGUAUUGACGCUGAGACGCGAAAGCGUGGGGAGCGAACAGG
This 253-nucleotide ribosomal RNA is filed under the name uncultured bacterium. Its description in RNAcentral is "partial 16S ribosomal RNA". It matches the Rfam family "Bacterial small subunit ribosomal RNA", at positions 524 to 776 of the family's 1533-position model. The record is from RNAcentral.